UUCUUUUAGAAUUUUUAAAAGUAAACCCUGCUCAGUGAACUUUUAACAGCCGCAGAUCAACUGUGCUAAGGUAGCAUAAUAAUUUGCCUUUUAAUUGAAGGCUAGAAUGAAUGGGAUUACAAUAAAUUAUCUAUCUCUUUUCUUCAUAUUGAAAUUAAAUUAAUAGUAAAAAUUCUAUUAUGAAUAAAAAGGACGACAAGACCCUAUCAAACUUCACUAUAGUUAAACUGGGGCGGUAAAAAAAAAAUUCUUUUUUUAAAUUUAUCUAAUUACUUAAUUAACAAGUUACUGUAGGGAUAACAGCAUAAUUUUUUUUUAGAGCUCUUAUCAAAAAAAAAGAUUGUGACCUCGAUGUUGAAUAAAUUUCCUAAUUCACGAAACCAUGAAUAUAGUAAGUCUGUUCGACUUUUAAAAAUUUACA
Molecule: ribosomal RNA, 421 nt
Filed under: Atypus snetsingeri
Lineage: Eukaryota; Metazoa; Arthropoda; Arachnida; Araneae; Atypidae
Description: partial 16S ribosomal RNA
Rfam family: Bacterial large subunit ribosomal RNA
Source: RNAcentral